This 1545-nucleotide ribosomal RNA is filed under the name Lactiplantibacillus pentosus. RNAcentral's name for it is "Lactobacillus pentosus 16S ribosomal RNA". It matches the Rfam family "Bacterial small subunit ribosomal RNA". Lineage: Bacteria; Bacillati; Bacillota; Bacilli; Lactobacillales; Lactobacillaceae. The record is from RNAcentral.
AUCAUGGCUCAGGACGAACGCUGGCGGCGUGCCUAAUACAUGCAAGUCGAACGAACUCUGGUAUUGAUUGGUGCUUGCAUCAUGAUUUACAUUUGAGUGAGUGGCGAACUGGUGAGUAACACGUGGGAAACCUGCCCAGAAGCGGGGGAUAACACCUGGAAACAGAUGCUAAUACCGCAUAACAACUUGGACCGCAUGGUCCGAGUUUGAAAGAUGGCUUCGGCUAUCACUUUUGGAUGGUCCCGCGGCGUAUUAGCUAGAUGGUGGGGUAACGGCUCACCAUGGCAAUGAUACGUAGCCGACCUGAGAGGGUAAUCGGCCACAUUGGGACUGAGACACGGCCCAAACUCCUACGGGAGGCAGCAGUAGGGAAUCUUCCACAAUGGACGAAAGUCUGAUGGAGCAACGCCGCGUGAGUGAAGAAGGGUUUCGGCUCGUAAAACUCUGUUGUUAAAGAAGAACAUAUCUGAGAGUAACUGUUCAGGUAUUGACGGUAUUUAACCAGAAAGCCACGGCUAACUACGUGCCAGCAGCCGCGGUAAUACGUAGGUGGCAAGCGUUGUCCGGAUUUAUUGGGCGUAAAGCGAGCGCAGGCGGUUUUUUAAGUCUGAUGUGAAAGCCUUCGGCUCAACCGAAGAAGUGCAUCGGAAACUGGGAAACUUGAGUGCAGAAGAGGACAGUGGAACUCCAUGUGUAGCGGUGAAAUGCGUAGAUAUAUGGAAGAACACCAGUGGCGAAGGCGGCUGUCUGGUCUGUAACUGACGCUGAGGCUCGAAAGUAUGGGUAGCAAACAGGAUUAGAUACCCUGGUAGUCCAUACCGUAAACGAUGAAUGCUAAGUGUUGGAGGGUUUCCGCCCUUCAGUGCUGCAGCUAACGCAUUAAGCAUUCCGCCUGGGGAGUACGGCCGCAAGGCUGAAACUCAAAGGAAUUGACGGGGGCCCGCACAAGCGGUGGAGCAUGUGGUUUAAUUCGAAGCUACGCGAAGAACCUUACCAGGUCUUGACAUACUAUGCAAAUCUAAGAGAUUAGACGUUCCCUUCGGGGACAUGGAUACAGGUGGUGCAUGGUUGUCGUCAGCUCGUGUCGUGAGAUGUUGGGUUAAGUCCCGCAACGAGCGCAACCCUUAUUAUCAGUUGCCAGCAUUAAGUUGGGCACUCUGGUGAGACUGCCGGUGACAAACCGGAGGAAGGUGGGGAUGACGUCAAAUCAUCAUGCCCCUUAUGACCUGGGCUACACACGUGCUACAAUGGAUGGUACAACGAGUUGCGAACUCGCGAGAGUAAGCUAAUCUCUUAAAGCCAUUCUCAGUUCGGAUUGUAGGCUGCAACUCGCCUACAUGAAGUCGGAAUCGCUAGUAAUCGCGGAUCAGCAUGCCGCGGUGAAUACGUUCCCGGGCCUUGUACACACCGCCCGUCACACCAUGAGAGUUUGUAACACCCAAAGUCGGUGGGGUAACCUUUUAGGAACCAGCCGCCUAAGGUGGGACAGAUGAUUAGGGUGAAGUCGUAACAAGGUAGCCGUAGGAGAACCUGCGGUUGGAUCAC